AUACGUAGGUGGCAAGCGUUAUCCGGAUUUACUGGGCGUAAAGGGUGUGUAGGCGGGACGGCAAGUCAGAUGUGAAAACUAUGGGCUCAACUCAUAGCCUGCAUUUUAAACUGUCGUUCUUGAGAGUCGGAGAGGAAAAUGGAAUUCCCGGUGUAGCGGUGAAAUGCAUAGAUAUCGGGAGGAACACCAGUGGCGAAGGCGAUUUACUGGACGACAACUGACGCUGAGACACGAAAGUGUGGGGAGCAAACAGGAUUAGAUACCCUGGUAGUCCACACCGUAAACGAUGAAUGCUAGGUGUAGGGGGAGAUAUUCCUCUGUGCCGCAGCUAACGCAAUAAGCAUUCCGCCUGGGGAGUACGGCCGCAAGGUUGAAACUUAAAUGAAUUGGCGGGG
This 395-nucleotide ribosomal RNA is filed under the name uncultured bacterium. RNAcentral's name for it is "partial 16S ribosomal RNA". It matches the Rfam family "Bacterial small subunit ribosomal RNA", at positions 523 to 918 of the family's 1533-position model. The record is from RNAcentral.